UUGGUUAGUCUGUGAUAAAAACUACUUUUACCAAUUAGGUGUUGCAAUGAAUAGCCCUGUCCCGGCAAGUGCAUUCUCAAAUGCUUUGUUAAAUGAAUUUUUAUCCCCCCAUAAAUAAAUUUUAUCAUUCCUAUCGGUGCAUAAAAGAACGCCAUUCCUGUGCUGAUUGGUGAAUGUCCAAGAAUAAAUCAGACAUAAAAAAUGGAUCAUUUGCUUAACAGGAAUAAAAUUAGUGAUGGAUUCGUGGCCGAGGCUUAGAUUGAUAUGGUCAAACUGUUCAAUGGGAAAUUUGGUCUCACCAUCACAAAGAUACUCUGAGGCAUAGACACAAACAUUUGAGGAGGCAAUGUAAUGAUACAAAGGUUCUUCUUGAACAGAUAGGGUUGUCUUGAGAUCAAGAGAAAUGGUGACCUCUGAGAUUAUGUCUAAGAUUCUUAUACCUAGGUACUCAAGUGCUUAUGAAACAACUCAGGCUUUGCAAUCUCAAGACCAAAGAGGCCUGUUAGAGUGUGCACACCUCCUGAUAGUUGCUAGUUGAUGAUUACCACUAAACAGUUUUGUGGUCAAAUCACAAGAAGG
Long non-coding RNA from Quercus lobata, 579 nucleotides. RefSeq lists it as uncharacterized. Lineage: Eukaryota; Viridiplantae; Streptophyta; Magnoliopsida; Fagales; Fagaceae. The record is from RefSeq and is a predicted model, not a curated record. The transcript is spliced from 2 exons.